UUCAACCGGCAAUUGAGGGGUCGACACAGUCAUCGCACGGGCGUUAUAAAAGGCAUGACUUGAUACUUUAAUAAAAUCGGCAGGACUUAUACCCAUAACAUUGGGCCCCUGAGCACGUUCCAUGUCGCUGCAAUACAAUUGCCAAAUAUCUGUCUGUAAAACAUAAUCAUCAGAACUUGGUUCAAAGCAACACCUCAUCCAUUUUACAGACCGU
Non-coding RNA from Schizosaccharomyces pombe (fission yeast), 214 nucleotides. Lineage: Eukaryota; Fungi; Ascomycota; Schizosaccharomycetes; Schizosaccharomycetales; Schizosaccharomycetaceae. The record is from the annotation of a GenBank genome assembly.